AGUGAACGCUGGCGGUAGGCCUAACACAUGCAAGUCGAACGGCAGCACAGUAAGAGCUUGCUCUUACGGGUGGCGAGUGGCGGACGGGUGAGGAAUACAUCGGAAUCUACUUUUUCGUGGGGGAUAACGUAGGGAAACUUACGCUAAUACCGCAUACGACCUACGGGUGAAAGCAGGGGAUCUUCGGACCUUGCGCGAUUGAAUGAGCCGAUGUCGGAUUAGCUAGUUGGCGGGGUAAAGGCCCACCAAGGCGACGAUCCGUAGCUGGUCUGAGAGGAUGAGAAGGCACACUGGAACUGAGACACGGUCCAGACGCCGACGGGAGGCAGCAGGGGGGAAUAUUGGAAAAUGGGCGAAAGCCUGAUACAGCCAUGGCGAGUGGGUGAAGAAGGGCUUCGGAUUGUAAAGCAGUUUAAGUUGGGAAGAAGGGCAGUAAGUGAAGACCGCGCGGUUUUGACGGUACCAACAGAAUAAGCACCGGCUAACUUCGUG
RNAcentral lists this ribosomal RNA (492 nucleotides) under uncultured bacterium. RNAcentral describes it as "partial 16S ribosomal RNA". It matches the Rfam family "Bacterial small subunit ribosomal RNA", at positions 30 to 507 of the family's 1533-position model. The record is from RNAcentral.